This 292-nucleotide unclassified non-coding RNA is filed under the name uncultured fungus. Its description in RNAcentral is "sequence contains ITS1". The record is from RNAcentral. Lineage: Eukaryota; Fungi.
GGACUACUCGGGUUUCUAAUCCUGUUUGCUCCCCACGCUUUCGUACCUCAGCGUCAACAACGGUCCAGUGAGCCGCCUUCGCCACUGGUGUUCUUCCGAAUAUCUACGAAUUUCACCUCUACACUCGGAAUUCCACUCACCUCUCCCGUGUUCCAGCCACCUAGUUUCAAAGGCAGUUCCAGGGUUGAGCCCUGGGCUUUCACCUCUGACUUGAAUGGCCGCCUACGUACGCUUUACGCCCAGUGAUUCCGAACAACGCUAGCCCCCUCCGUAUUACCGCGGCGGCUGGCAC